Molecule: long non-coding RNA, 189 nt
Organism: Xiphophorus hellerii (green swordtail)
Lineage: Eukaryota; Metazoa; Chordata; Actinopteri; Cyprinodontiformes; Poeciliidae
Exons: 2
Source: RefSeq, a predicted model, not a curated record
UCAAUCGCCUGCUGGAACUUCCCCAUCUGGAAAACCACCACACCUACUGUUGGACCCCCAUGUACUCUCCUCUGCUUACCUACCCACAGACCUUCCUCCGCUGGCCCGGUUCCUCCCUGCUGUCGCAGAUCGACGCCCCUCCACACACUCUCCAGCACAUUCAGUUACUAAAUAAAUCUGUUAAAACUG